GACGAACGCUGGCGGCGUGCUUAACACAUGCAAGUCGAACGCUGAAGCUCAGCUUUUGUUGGGUGGAUGAGUGGCGAACGGGUGAGUAACACGUGAGUAACCUGCCCCCUUCUUUGGGAUAACGCCCGGAAACGGGUGCUAAUACUGGAUAUUCACUGGUCUUCGCAUGGGGGUUGGUGGAAAGGGUUUUUCUGGUGGGGGAUGGGCUCGCGGCCUAUCUGCUUGUUGGUGGGGUGAUGGCCUACCAAGGCUUUGACGGGUAGCCGGCCUGAGAGGGUGACCGGUAACAUUGGGACUGAGAUACGGCCCAGACGCCUACGGGAGGCAGCAGUGGGGAAUAUGGCACAAUGGGGGCAAGCCUGAUGCAGCGAAGCAGCGUGAGGGAUGGAGGCCUUCGGGUUGUGAACCUCUUUCGCUCAUGGUCAAGCCGCAACAAUGGUUGUGGUGAGGGUAGUGGGUAAAGAAGCGCCGGCUAACUACGUG
RNAcentral lists this ribosomal RNA (483 nucleotides) under uncultured bacterium. Its description in RNAcentral is "partial 16S ribosomal RNA". It matches the Rfam family "Bacterial small subunit ribosomal RNA", at positions 28 to 507 of the family's 1533-position model. The record is from RNAcentral.